AGUGAACGCUGGCGGUAGGCCUAACACAUGCAAGUCGAACGGCAGCACAGUAAGAGCUUGCUCUUACGGGUGGCGAGUGGCGGACGGGUGAGGAAUACAUCGGAAUCUACUUUUUCGUGGGGGAUAACGUAGGGAAACCUACGCUAAUACCGCAUACGACCUACGGGUGAAAGCAGGGGAUCUUCGGACCUUGCGCGAUUGAAUGAGCCGAUGUCGGAUUAGCUAGUUGGCGGGGUAAAGGCCCACCAAGGCGACGAUCCGUAGCUGGUCUGAGAGGAUGAUCAGCCACACUGGAACUGAGACACGGUCCAGACUCCUACGGAAGGCAGCAGUGGGGAAUAUUGGACAAUGGGCGCAAGCCUGAUCCAGCCAUACCGCGUGGGUGAAGAAGGCCUUCGGGUUGUAAAGCCCUUUUGUUGGGAAAGAAAAGCAGCAGGUUAAUACCCCGCUGUUCUGACGGUACCCAAAGAAUAAGCACCGGCUAACUUCGUG
RNAcentral lists this ribosomal RNA (492 nucleotides) under uncultured bacterium. Its description in RNAcentral is "partial 16S ribosomal RNA". It matches the Rfam family "Bacterial small subunit ribosomal RNA", at positions 29 to 507 of the family's 1533-position model. The record is from RNAcentral.